Molecule: ribosomal RNA, 253 nt
Filed under: uncultured bacterium
Lineage: Bacteria
Description: partial 16S ribosomal RNA
Rfam family: Bacterial small subunit ribosomal RNA
Source: RNAcentral
UACGGAGGUGGCAAGCGCUGCUCGGAAUCACUGGGCGUAAAGGGCGCGUAGGCGGGGAGGUAAGUCGGGUGUGAAAUCCCUCGGCCCAACCGAGGAACUGCGCCCGAGACUGCUUCUCUUGAGUCCCGGAGAGGAAGAUGGAAUUCCCGGUGUAGCGGUGAAAUGUGUAGAGAUCGGGAGGAACACCGGUGGCGAAGGCGGUCUUCUGGACGGUGACUGACGCUGAGGCGCGAAAGCGUGGGGAGCAAACGGG